Molecule: ribosomal RNA, 433 nt
Filed under: uncultured Lachnospiraceae bacterium
Lineage: Bacteria; Bacillati; Bacillota; Clostridia; Lachnospirales; Lachnospiraceae
Description: partial 16S ribosomal RNA
Rfam family: Bacterial small subunit ribosomal RNA
Source: RNAcentral
ACGGAAGGCAGCAGUGGGGAAUAUUGCACAAUGGGCGAAAGCCUGAUGCAGCGACGCCGCGUGAGUGAAGAAGUAUCUCGGUAUGUAAGCUCUAUCAGCAGGGAAGAAAAUGACGGUACCUGACUAAGAAGCCCCGGCUAACUACGUGCCAGCAGCCGCGGUAAUACGUAGGGGGCAAGCGUUAUCCGGAUUUACUGGGUGUAAAGGGAGCGUAGACGGUUUGGCAAGUCUGAAGUGAAAUGCGGGGGCUCAACUCCUGAACUGCUUUGGAAACUGUCGAACUAGAGUGCAGGAGAGGUAAGUGGAAUUCCUAGUGUAGCGGUGAAAUGCGUAGAUAUUAGGAGGAACACCAGUGGCGAAGGCGGCUUACUGGACUGUAACUGACGUUGAGGCUCGAAAGCGUGGGGAGCAAACAGGAUUAGAUACCCUGGUA